AGCCACAGCCGUAUCACCCUGCAGCCCAAGAGCAGCCACUCACUAGUUAAGCAGGGCUGAGUCUGGUCAGUAGCUAAAUGGGAGACCACAUGGGAAAACUAGGGUGGCAGUGGUGU
Molecule: non-coding RNA, 116 nt
Organism: Danio rerio (zebrafish)
Lineage: Eukaryota; Metazoa; Chordata; Actinopteri; Cypriniformes; Danionidae
Source: Rfam